RNAcentral lists this ribosomal RNA (846 nucleotides) under Juxtiphoma eupyrena. RNAcentral's name for it is "partial large subunit ribosomal RNA". It matches the Rfam family "Eukaryotic large subunit ribosomal RNA", at positions 75 to 939 of the family's 3401-position model. The record is from RNAcentral. Lineage: Eukaryota; Fungi; Ascomycota; Dothideomycetes; Pleosporales; Didymellaceae.
UUGCCCUAGUAACGGCGAGUGAAGCGGCAACAGCUCAAAUUUGAAAUCUGGCGUCUUUGGCGUCCGAGUUGUAAUUUGCAGAGGGCGCUUUGGCAUUGGCAGCGGUCCAAGUUCCUUGGAACAGGACGUCACAGAGGGUGAGAAUCCCGUACGUGGUCGCUAGCCUUUACCGUGUAAAGCCCCUUCGACGAGUCGAGUUGUUUGGGAAUGCAGCUCUAAAUGGGAGGUAAAUUUCUUCUAAAGCUAAAUACUGGCCAGAGACCGAUAGCGCACAAGUAGAGUGAUCGAAAGAUGAAAAGCACUUUGGAAAGAGAGUUAAAAAGCACGUGAAAUUGUUGAAAGGGAAGCGCUUGCAGCCAGACUUGCCUGUAGUUGCUCAUCCGGGUUUUUACCCGGUGCACUCUUCUAUAGGCAGGCCAGCAUCAGUUUGGGCGGUUGGAUAAAGGUCUCUGUCAUGUACCUCUCUUCGGGGAGAACUUAUAGGGGAGACGACAUGCAACCAGCCUGGACUGAGGUCCGCGCAUCUGCUAGGAUGCUGGCGUAAUGGCUGUAAGCGGCCCGUCUUGAAACACGGACCAAGGAGUCUAACAUCUAUGCGAGUGUUUGGGUGUCAAGCCCGAGCGCGUAAUGAAAGUGAACGGAGGUGGGAACCCCUCGGGGUGCACCAUCGACCGAUCCUGAUGUCUUCGGAUGGAUUUGAGUAAGAGCAUAGCUGUUGGGACCCGAAAGAUGGUGAACUAUGCUUGAAUAGGGUGAAGCCAGAGGAAACUCUGGUGGAGGCUCGCAGCGGUUCUGACGUGCAAAUCGAUCGUCAAAUUUGGGCAUAGGGGCGAAAGACUAAUCGAA